CCUACGUGGUGCAACAGUGGGGAAUAUUGCGCAAUGGGCGAAAGCCUGACGCAGCGACGCCGCGUGAGGGAUGAAGGUCUUCGGAUCGUAAACCUCUGUCAGCAGGGAAGAACGGUCACUGUGCUAAUCAGCAGUGAAUUGACGGUACCUGCAAAGGAAGCACCGGCUAACUCCGUGCCAGCAGCCGCGGUAAUACGGAGGGUGCGAGCGUUAAUCGGAAUUACUGGGCGUAAAGCGCUCGUAGGCGGUAUGUCAAGUCAAGGGUGAAAUCCCCGCGCUCAACGUGGGAACUGCCUUUGAAACGGGCAAACUGGAGUGUGUGAGAGGAUAGUGGAAUUCCAGGUGUAGGAGUGAAAUCCGUAGAUAUCUGGAGGAACAUCAGUGGCGAAGGCGACUAUCUGGCACAUAACUGACGCUGAGGAGCGAAAGCGUGGGUAGCAAACAGGAUUAGAUACCCGGGUAGUC
RNAcentral lists this ribosomal RNA (465 nucleotides) under uncultured bacterium. Its description in RNAcentral is "partial 16S ribosomal RNA". It matches the Rfam family "Bacterial small subunit ribosomal RNA", at positions 338 to 795 of the family's 1533-position model. The record is from RNAcentral.